AAAAAAAAAAAAAAAAGAAAAGACUAGUUAAUCAUAUGAAAAUGUCUCCAGCAGCAGUGAAUUUAUUCAAUUUGACAGUAUAUAGCAAUGCAAGCUUUGAUUGGCCCUCAAUGGUUCCAGUUUUGGGCUCUUAUCGUUUCCAGCGAACUUUUGUGCAUAGUCAUUAUAAGUACAAUUAGUAAGUGGAAUAUUACGAGUUCAGGACAGCAAUUGAGGACGUGAUUAAGGUUUAGCAUUCUAAGUAAGUUUCUGCCUUAUUCCUUUCUUUUUUAAGAUUUUAGAAUCUCUAUGUUUAAAAUAAAAAAGGUUUAACAUUCUUGUAAGUUUCUGCCUUAUUCUUUUUUGUUUUUCAAGAUUUUAGAAUCUCUAUGUAAAAAACAAAACAAUAAUAAAUGGUUUAAUAUUCUUAUAAGUUUGUCUUAUUCAUUUUCUUUUAAGAUUUUAGAAUCUCCGCUUAGCAAAGUCAUCUCAUACAAUUGAUUCCGCUUUUGUCAGCUUUCUCUCCCUGCAAAGUUUCCCUGUGAUAGUAGUAGUUGUACAUAAUGGUAGUAUCCCCAAAAGCACAUACCAUUUCUUGCCCGGCUUCUUCUCUAUAAAUCUGAAUCACUCACUAGUAAGGGAGGGCAACAAUAAUGGAAGUGAGCAGCAGGUACGUGGUGACCAAGGCACAUAUAGAUGGUGCACCAAAAGAGAGUGACUUUGAGCUCAAAUCUGAGUCUAUUUCCCUGUUGCUUGACUCUGGUUCCAAUGAUGUUAUAGUGAAAAAUCUCUUUGUAUCCAUAGACCCUUACCAGCUAAACCGCAUGAAGAGUCAGAGUUCAUCACAAAUAUAUUCCACAUUAGCAGCUGCAAUUAAUCCUGGCGAGGCUAUUGAUGCUUAUGGAGUGGCAAAAGUUUUGGUUUCUGGGAAUCCUGAAUUCCAGAAAGAUGACUUGGUUGUAGGGUUCAUUACAUGGGGAGAUUAUAGUGUCAUAAAACCAGGUGCCAUGCUAAGGAAAUUGGAUCCUAUGGGAUUUCCAUUGUCACACCAUGUUGGAAUUCUAGGAUUUAGUGGACUUACAGCCUAUGUUGGGUUUUUCGAAGUAUGCAAACCCAAGAAGGGGGAGAAGGUGUUUGUAUCUGCUGCUUCUGGAUCAGUUGGAAAUUUGGUUGGACAGUACGCAAAGCUGUUUAGUUGCUAUGUGGUUGGCUGCGCCGGAAGCACAGAAAAGGUCUAAUUCUGUAACCUGUUAGAGUUUGUAUCUAUUUGGUAUUUUUGUUGCAGUUGCUAUUGAAAAAGCAAACGGAACUUGCUUUUGAGAAUGAUUUUACAACUUAAGUUACAGAAUUCCAAAACAAGAAACGAACAGUUUUAAAAUACUUCUUGCUGCUUCAUCUAAAUUGGUUUUUCCCCCAAAAAAAGCAGUUCUUAAUUGGAGUGCGAAACAGGUACAAAUCCUGAAAGAAAAGCUUGGUUUUGAUGAUGCAUUCAACUACAAGGAAGAAAGUGAUCUGAAGGCAACUCUCAGAAGGUACUUUCCUGAUGGGAUUGACAUAUAUUUUGACAAUGUUGGGGCAGAAAUGCAAGAGGCGGCAAUUGCUAACAUGAAUGUGUUUGGUAGAGUAGCAGUUUGUGGGGUGAUUUCUGAGUACACAGAUAGUGGAAGAAAAGCUGCACCUGAUAUGAUAGAUAUUGUGUAUAGAAGAAUCAAAAUCCAAGGGUUUUUAGCUACCGAUUUCUUGAAUGUUUAUGCUGAUUUCAUUUCAACCACUUGUGAUCAUCUUCGUGCCGGCAAGAUGCACACACUUGAAGAUAUCUCAACUGGUGUGGAGAGCAUUCCCUCCUCAUUAAUUGGACUUUUUAGUGGUCAUAAUAUUGGGAAGAAGAUGGUUCAAUUAGCAGAUAGUCCAAUUGACAUAGGGGUUUGAAAAUCCUUAACUGAGACUUAGGCUCUAUUUGUUUCGUGGAAAAUAAAUUGUAUUUCACAGAGAAAUUUCUUCUAAGAAAAUGUUUUUGUUAAAAAUAUUUUUCAUUAUUUGUUACAAUGUUAAACUGAUGGUAUGUGUUUACGUUUUUGGUAUAGCGUAAUCAAAGUUAAAAUGUAA
This 2085-nucleotide unclassified non-coding RNA is filed under the name Hevea brasiliensis (rubber tree). The record is from RNAcentral. Lineage: Eukaryota; Viridiplantae; Streptophyta; Magnoliopsida; Malpighiales; Euphorbiaceae.